AGAGAAACUAGUACCAA
This 17-nucleotide transfer RNA is filed under the name Lamprolepis smaragdina. Its description in RNAcentral is "partial tRNA-Trp". The record is from RNAcentral. Lineage: Eukaryota; Metazoa; Chordata; Lepidosauria; Squamata; Scincidae.